This 84-nucleotide transfer RNA is filed under the name Bacteroidetes bacterium UKL13-3. RNAcentral's name for it is "tRNA-Tyr". It matches the Rfam family "tRNA". From Rfam's summary of the family: Transfer RNA (tRNA) molecules are approximately 80 nucleotides in length. Their secondary structure includes four short double-helical elements and three loops (D, anti-codon, and T loops). Further hydrogen bonds mediate the characteristic L-shaped molecular structure. tRNAs have two regions of fundamental functional importance: the anti-codon, which is responsible for specific mRNA codon recognition, and the 3' end, to which the tRNAs corresponding amino acid is attached (by aminoacyl-tRNA synthetases). tRNAs cope with the degeneracy of the genetic code in two manners: having more than one tRNA (with a specific anti-codon) for a particular amino acid; and 'wobble' base-pairing, i.e. permitting non-standard base-pairing at the 3rd anti-codon position. The record is from RNAcentral. RNAcentral also lists the same sequence under 1 other name. Lineage: Bacteria; Pseudomonadati; Bacteroidota.
GGGGAGAUUCCAGAGCGGCCAAAUGGGACGGACUGUAAAUCCGUUGCGAGAGCUUCGAAGGUUCGAAUCCUUCUCUCCCCACCA